RNAcentral lists this long non-coding RNA (5689 nucleotides) under Sus scrofa (pig). Its description in RNAcentral is "lncRNA (ENSSSCG00050060702.1)". Lineage: Eukaryota; Metazoa; Chordata; Mammalia; Artiodactyla; Suidae. The record is from RNAcentral.
UUUUUUAUUUUUAUUUAUUUAUUUAUUUCUUCUUUUGAGGGCCACACCUGCAGCAUAUGGAGCUUCCCAGGCUAGGAGUCUGAUCCAAGCUACAGAUGCCAGCCUAUGCCACAGCCACAGCAACGCCAGAUCCCAGCCGCGUCUGUGACCCACACCACAGGUCAUGGCAACACUGGAUCCUUAACCCUCUGAGCGAGGCCAGGGAUCAAACCCACAGCCUCAUGGUUCCUAGUCGGAUUUGUUUCCACUGCACCACUACGGGAACUCCAAUCUCUGACUCUUCUUAAUAGGCUUCCUCUGAUUUGCCUUCACCUUGAGUUCUGGGCUCCUCAGCCCCAGGUCCCUCGAUAUCAUGCCCUCACUCAGGUGGAAGAAUUCCUUUGACCACUACCACCCACAAAGGGCCCCUGGGAAGAAUGUCAACCUAUCAGGGCUGUCACCAUCACCUCCCUACAGUCAGCACCCCAAAGAGGUGGCUGGUGCUCAGUUCGGGAGGAAGGACAGAGAGGAGGCUUUGAGAUGGACCGAAUCACCAGACCCAUGCAAAGCCACCGUGUCGCCUGUUUACUUUGCAUCAAUCCUGGCUCUGGUCCUUCUUCAAAAGCCAUCCUUCAAAGAGCAGGAUGUGGCCCUGGCAAGAAAGGUGACCCCUCCUACCGAGUUCUUGGGAAUAUUAGCUCAUCAGAACCUCCUUGCUCACCGUCAUGAGAUGAACUCGCUCGAAAUGAGCUAAGGGGGAGGAGUGACUGAAUCAGAAGCCCGUCUCACCCUCUCGCUGUUUUUAACACUUCUCCCUCCCUCUGCUGGGAUGGUACAUCUUAGCAAAAAUCAUCUCAGCUGGUUUGCCAGCAGCUUGGCUCUGAGCUUGCUUUCAGCUCUCGGUCCUUCUCCCAUCCUAGCUCUACCAGCUUCCCCAUUCUCCGGGCUGGGCAGUCCUCCCUCCCCCCAUUCCUGUUUGCUAGCUCUUGUCCUGUGGAGCCCACGAAGGGUUAAACAUUCCCAGGACUGGCCAGGCCAGGCCACAGAGAUGCAGGUGCUAAGAGGGAAAGCAUGGGCUGGAAUCUAGAAUCAUCUGUCACCACGCCAGGAGCUCCUCUGGGUGAGGAGUGAUCCCAGAUUUCACUAAAAGUCUCCAGGUGAAAAUUCCAUAAAUCUAGAAAAGGCAAAGCUCAAUGGAAAUUUAAUUAAAUGAGUUAAAUAUGUAGGGUGCUUGAGACAAUCGCUGGUACACGGUGAGCUGUAUAAACACUUGGAAAUGAGUCAGAGUUUGGCGGGAGGGGGGUAGGGGCGGGGCGGGGUAUACAGCUCAGCAUCACAGCAAUCUAUAGAUUCCAGAAUCCUUGCAAAUGGGUCCUUGGCCCCGUAUUUGUGCAUUUUAAGUCACCGGCUCUGUCUGCCACUAGCCCUCAGGUUUUUUUCUCUCCUCCACUUCACAUCCCAAGAAUCUGUGAGUGUGGGUACACAGCUAAAGAGCUCUAUCUUUUGUUCUUACCAUCAUGCCUCACUCUUAAAUCAGGUCCUAUCCCUUGACUUCCCAAAACCUUGCGUUGGUGUGGCUUUCUAUGGUGUCUUUCCUAACGCCUUGGUAGCAAACACAUGGGCUUCAUCAUAAUAACGUCAAGCUGUCAUUAUAGGAACACACUGAAAAGCACACAUAAAGGAAGCUUUCCCCUCCUAAACACAUGGGCCAGGAUUCUGGUUGGGUUUUCAGCAAAGAUCCUCUCUGAAAGUCUCCUGGGGAAAGGGUCAGAGCCGUGGAGGGAGGCAAGACCCUGGUGAUAUGAACUUCAGCGCUGGCUCUGAGCGUGCCCCUUGCUACUGCAGGCUGCCAGCAAAAAAAACCCAAAAACCAAAAAACAAAAAAAAAAACAAAACGCAGAAUUCUUCCCUCCAAAGCCAAUAAUCCUCAGUGUCCUCCAGAAUCAGGACUCAAAGAGAUAGAAGGAAAAAACAGGCAAGAAUGCUUCCUUUCUUCUUAAGGCUUUAAGCAGGAAGCUGGGGGAGGGAGGGGACGUGUCUAAGAAAGCAGGAAACUUCCUUCACCCCGAUGCGCACAGGACCCGCUCUAGAAGCAGACCUCCCAGCUCUGCUAAUUGCUCAAGGAUUAUGGCUGGUCCUGGCCAAGCCGAGUUACAGCUCAGAUUCUGCCCAAGGCCCUCCCGCUCAUCAGGAGAAGGAAGUGACAGACGCCCCUCUCCUGAGACGUGAUGAAAGGUAUGAGUCACAGGAGUGGGAGGGAAAUUGGCUUCAGGGUCAGGGGCCCAGCGCACCAGCAGCUGGAUGGAGCUGAAGGGAAAGGAAGGGGAUCCUGAAAGGGAAAAACACCACUGUCUCCGCUGCCUUCUUUCUAACCCGUUCAGAUAGUUCAGAGAUGUGCCAGACCCAGCGUGGUCACGUCUGAGAACCAAGCAUCACGUCUGAGAACCAAGCAGCCGUCUGCUGAGGGGGACCGAGCAGUUUCUCUGUGCCUCGUGUUGUUCUCCAAGCCGGGUUGACCAAAGGGCAGGGGCGGGUUGCACGGGGGUGGGGUGGGGGGGUGAUGGGACAGGAGCGAUAACUGAUUUCUGUGGCCACGGCAUUUAAUGUCCAAGAGAGAGGAGACCUCGGAAACCACUGAUCUGCAGAGGAGCAGACCAAGGCUCAGAGAGGGCAAGGUGAUUGUCUAAAGACACAUAGCUCCCUAGACGGCUGGCAAGGCUCUCUUUUUUGGCCCCAGGAUGAUAUCUGAGAAUCGCAUGGCAGAGCUGAUGCAGGAAUCCUACCGAGACCAACUCCCGAGUGGGGACACUCACCUCAGAGCAGGUUCCCACCACUCUGUCACCUGUAUUGUAGGCCAGAGGACAGACACAUGGGUGUCUGCCAUAACCAUCUCAUCCACCGCCCUCAUUUUCUUGGUCCAGGUUCGAUUCAGCGCCUGUGAGUCCCAAGCACCUGUACCCCGCCCCCAAUCCUAAGAAAGUCCAAGAAAUCCAAGUGUGAUGGAAAGCUUUCCAUCCAAUGCCAGAGAGCUCAUGAAUUUUUCACUACUUUUUAUCGAAAGAGGAAGGGGUCCAUGGCUGAUGGCUACAGGGUACCACCGACCUCAGGGCCUGGAAAAAACGUACCACAGCAGAAAUGACCUGUGAUCCAUCCAGACAAUGAAAUACUCCUCAGCGCUAUGAAGAAAUGAGCUGUCAAGCCAUGAAAAGACAUGGAAGAAUCUUAAAUGCAUGUUACCAAAUGAAAAAAGCCAAUCUAAAGAAGCUGCACUGUACUGUUGCAACUACAUGACCUUCUGGAAAAGGCAGAGCGAUGGAGACAACAAAAGGAUCAGUGAUUGGCCAGGAGUUGAGGGGAAGAGAAGGAUGAAUAGCCAGAGCCCAGAAGCGUUUCCGGGCAGUGAAACGCUUCUGGGUGACACAAUAAUGGCAGACGCCUGUCAUUACGUAUUUGCCCAAACUCAUAGAAUGUACACGACCCGGAGUGAGGCCUGUUGUAAAUUAUGACCUUGGGUGAUAAGAAUGCAUCAACGGAGGUUCAUCAAUUUUAGCAAAUGUGGGAAAUAUUGCCAGGAACCUGUGCCGGGGGUGUGGGGGUGGUACGCAGGGGUGAGGGGCUAUAGGAAAUCUCUGAUCUUUCCUCUCCAUGUUGCUGUGAACCUAAAAUUUCUCUAAAAAAAUAAAGUCCUAAAAAGGCCACCUAUGGUAGCAGGAAUCCUAUUCAAGUCAACCAGCUUUUCAUGGACUAGCUAAUAUCACCCAAAGAAUUCCUUUCUUCCUGCCAUUGGCCAUUUUCCAUUUUUCGUGAUUUUCUGCUUCCCGUUUCAUUUUGUGGACAUCCAGGGAAAAACAGCAAGAGGCCUCUGAUCCUAGGAGAGCGUACUCAAGAGCAGCGCACACCGGACACGCGUGUUCAAAAUGGGUAUUUUUGAACCUUCCCCCUGGCUCGCUCAUUCACAACCUCUAAGGGCCAGGCCAGGGAAUCUGCAUUUUCACACCUCCCCACCUGAUUACCAUGCAUGCUAAUGUCUGAUAAAAACUGCCUUCUUGGCACCUAGAGCAGAAAAGGCUUCUGGGAGGAGUUAGGGCAGCAGAAUCCCUGUGUGCUCAGUGUAUUUAUAAUGUAAGAUUGAUGGGAAAAGAUAUCUAAAGAACCACAGAUAACAGGUUAACAGCAGGAGGUGUGGAGCCGACCCUUGCCCUUUCAGAACCAUCAUCAGACCCCAAAAUAGGGGUUCACUGCGGCUUUCGCCUCCGAAACCGGGGACUUCUUAAAUGAGGGGUGUCAGGCUCAUUCACGACUGUCUCCCCAGCCUCUCCUGGCCCAGGGCAGAUGCUCAAUAAAUUAGUGCCAAAUAGGUGAAUUAGGCUUAUCUGGGAGAGGGCACAGUAAGGACACGAGCAAAGAUGUUCCUAAUGACUUAUGCAUCCCCUCCCCUUACUUUAAAUGCGCCGCUUUAAAAAAAAAAAAAAAAAGGCGCAGGUCUCCCCAGAGGCCCUACGUCGGACACCCAGGCCGAGAAACUUCGAGGUAGAAUGAAGCCUGGGCACAGCACAUUAGCUGCUAAGGAGAACGUGACCCCAGGGAAUCUUUUUACCUUUUUUUUUUUUAAACUUUUUACCGGGAACAUUGUGUUUCUAGAAGUCCCAGCUCUAGGGAGCCCUGCUUUCUUGGGGGGUGGGGCAGGUGCGAGCAUUGCCCAGUUUCCUGGAUACCAAGACGGAGCAGCUAAACACACGCCAAGGUCUCUGGCCGAAGAAUGUGGAGGAAAAUAUGCCUGGUGGGGCUGAGCUGGGGGAGGCUGUGGGGACUGGCACCCCGGGGGGAUGGCAGGAGUGGAGCAAGGUGGGGGGGGUGCCGAGAUCUGCUGCCCCCCAUCCUCUACCCCUCCAAACUGCCAAGUGGCCUGAGUGCCAUCCUCUACGAUAAAGUUUCUGUGACUUUUUCCUUCUCUUGGAAAUCCAAAAUGCCCCUGGAAUUGUUGUAAUGGGAUUUGUGCCAGGAUGUAGGUUACUUUCGUGUGGCUUUGAGUUUGUGGGGGCUGUUGUAACAAGGUACUGGGAACUAAGUGGCUUCGACAGCAGGAGUGUAUCAUCUCAGAGUCCUGGAGGCUGGAAGUCUAAAAUUAAGGUGUGGGCAGGGUUGGUUCCUUCUGAGGCUGGAGGAACGAACUGUUCCAGGCUCUCUCCUUGGCCUGCAGAUGGCCAUCUUCUCCCUGCAUCACUCCACAUCCUCGUCCCUUGGUGUCUGUCCCUCUGUCCCAAUGUCCCCCUUUUAUUGGGACACUGGUCACACUGGAUUAGCACCUCCGCCCAGUGACCUCCAUCAAGACCUCAUUUCCCAACCAGCUCCCAUUCUGAGGUUCUGGGGGUUACGUCGGACUCUGAUUUGGGGAAACAGAGUUCAACCCUUAGCCACCCAUCUCCUUCCUCUGAGACAGAAGCAGGACAGAAAGAGGCUUGAGGAGAAAGGAAUCCUGAAGGUCAGAAAGGUCACCCUGGGAAGGUCAGCAGCCCUGGGGCGGGGGAGAGGGAGACGCACUCAGCAUUCUGCCCGCUGUUGGGCUCAGUGCCUGGAGGUCCUUGAACCGCCUUCAUUCUGCUGUGGCGUUUGGAGCCGCCACUUUUGCCCACUGUGUUUGACCCUCAAGGGACGGGCAAGCUGGACGCCCCCUCCCCCUGCAAAAAGUGACCACAGAAUUUUGAGGUCC